AAACACUUAAUCAUUCAUGAAACAUUUCAUGGAAAUACAAUCAUUCCCCAUUCACUGCUACUUGCAAAAGCCAAUGCUUUUGGAAUUUGACCAUACCUGUUCGAUUUCCUUUUUUCUAAUUUUCAAUUAUUACCCUUAUUUAUUUAUAUAUAUACAAAAAAUAAAUCAAUCAUUGGACCAGGAUAAGGCUGUUUGACCUACAAGAGGGCUUUUAAUACUCAAAAAAACAAAAUAAAGCACAUAUAUACAAGCCCCAGCUUCAUUCAAAACUCUAGCCAAUUAAUUUGUAUUUUGGUCAAAGGAUUCCUCUCUCUGUAUUACUCUGCACAGGAAUUAGAAUAUAUAUUAUUCCUUUUGUUGCAACCACAAAAUUCCCUUGACA
This 382-nucleotide unclassified non-coding RNA is filed under the name Hevea brasiliensis (rubber tree). Lineage: Eukaryota; Viridiplantae; Streptophyta; Magnoliopsida; Malpighiales; Euphorbiaceae. The record is from RNAcentral.